Molecule: ribosomal RNA, 313 nt
Filed under: uncultured bacterium
Lineage: Bacteria
Description: bacterial SSU rRNA
Rfam family: Bacterial small subunit ribosomal RNA
Source: RNAcentral
AAUGAACGUUGGCGGCGUGGAUUAGGCAUGCAAGUCGCGCGACAAGGAACCUUCGGGUUCUGGAGGAGCGGCAAAACGGGGUAGUAAGGCAUCGGAACGUACCCUCUUGUUGGGAAUAGCCGCGGGAAACUGCGAGUAAUGCCCAAUAAUCCCUACGGGGCAAAGGUCCGCCGCAGGAGGAGCGGCCGAUGUGAUACCAGCUAGUUGGUGAGGUAAUGGCUCACCAAGGCUUAGACGUCUAGGGGGUGUGAGAGCAUGGCCCCCACCACUGGGACGUGAGAUACUGCCCACGACACCUACCGGGUGGGCGUGC